This 445-nucleotide ribosomal RNA is filed under the name uncultured bacterium. RNAcentral describes it as "bacterial SSU rRNA". It matches the Rfam family "Bacterial small subunit ribosomal RNA", at positions 29 to 521 of the family's 1533-position model. The record is from RNAcentral.
AGCGAGCGCUGGCGGCAGGCCUAACACAUGCAAGUCGAACGAACUCUUCGGAGUUAGUGGCGGACGGGUGAGUAACACGUGGGAACGUGCCUUUAGGUUCGGAAUAACUCAGGGAAACUUGUGCUAAUACCGAAUGUGCCCUUCGGGGGAAAGAUUUAUCGCCUUUAGAGCGGCCCGCGUCUGAUUAGCUAGUUGGUGAGGUAAAGGCUCACUAAGGCGACGAUCAGUAGCUGGUCUGAGGGGAUGAUCAGCCACAUUGGGACUGAGACACGGCCCAAACUCCUACGGGAGGCAGCAGUGGGGAAUCUUGCGCAAUGGGCGAAAGCCUGACGCAGCCAUGCCGCGUGAAUGAUGAAGGUCUUAGGAUUGUAAAUCUUUCACCGGGGACGAUAAUGACGGUACCCGGAGAAGAAGCCCCGGCUAACUUCGUGCCAGCAGCCGCGGU